GAUGAACGCUGGCGGCGUGCCUAAUACAUGCAAGUCGAGCGAACAGACGAGGAGCUUGCUCCUCUGACGUUAGCGGCGGACGGGUGAGUAACACGUGGAUAACCUACCUAUAUGACUGGUAUAACUUCGGGAAACCGGAUCUAAUACCGGAUAAUCUAUUCAACCGCAUGGUUCAAUAGUGAAAGACGGUUUUGCUGUCACUUAUAGAUGGAUCCGCGCCGCAUUAGCUAGUUGGUAAGGUCACGGCUUACCAAGGCAACGAUGCGUAGCCGACCUGAGAGGGUGAUCGGCCACACGGGAACUGAGACACGGUCCAGACUCCUACGGGAGGCAGCAGUAGGGAAUCUUCCGCAAUGGGCGAAAGCUUGACGGAGCAACGCCGCGUGAGUGAUGAAGGUCUUCGGAUCGUAAAACUCUGUUAUUAGGGAAGAACAAAUGUGUAAGUAACUAUGCACGUCUUGACGGUACCUAAUCAGAAAGCCACGGCUAACUACGUG
Molecule: ribosomal RNA, 497 nt
Filed under: uncultured bacterium
Lineage: Bacteria
Description: partial 16S ribosomal RNA
Rfam family: Bacterial small subunit ribosomal RNA
Source: RNAcentral